UCCAACUGACUUCCGACCUCCGACGACAUCUCUUCAAACCUCUCUGGCAGCCGAGCCUCUGCAACACUCCCAAAUUUUGCUGACGGAUAAGCCCCCACCAGCGUCGACCGGAUUCUUCGCAACGGACGAACUCCACCCAAGUUUCCACGAUGAUCGACCAUCUUCUAGACUUCGCUCGGACUCCUACGGGAGCCGGACCUCGUCCCCAGCUUCGGC
Molecule: long non-coding RNA, 216 nt
Filed under: Elaeis guineensis (African oil palm)
Lineage: Eukaryota; Viridiplantae; Streptophyta; Magnoliopsida; Arecales; Arecaceae
Description: long non-coding RNA (EGUI_LNC059356)
Source: RNAcentral